This 375-nucleotide transfer-messenger RNA is filed under the name Pseudaquabacterium prasiolae. RNAcentral describes it as "Aquabacterium sp. OR-4 transfer-messenger RNA". It matches the Rfam family "transfer-messenger RNA". From Rfam's summary of the family: Bacterial tmRNA, also known as 10Sa RNA or SsrA, is named for its dual tRNA and mRNA-like properties. Its role is to liberate the mRNA from a stalled ribosome. Lineage: Bacteria; Pseudomonadati; Pseudomonadota; Betaproteobacteria; Burkholderiales; Sphaerotilaceae. The record is from RNAcentral.
GGGGCCGACCUGGCUUCGACGUGGGUGCGGAGUCGGUACAGGGCAUGCCGAGCGCCAGAUCAGCUCGUAAAUCCAGCUGGAAACAAGUAACUGCGAACGACGAACGUUUCGCCCUCGCCGCUUAAACACCGGUGAGCCUCACAACGGUUGGCCGAUGGGCCGGGCUUGAGCCGCAAGGCAAGGGCUGUGAGGUCAUUCACAUCGGCUGGCACCUUGCCGGGUCACUUGGCCGGGUGCGAGAUUCAAGGUGACUGGUCUGUCAGGUAGCGUGCUGCUGCGCGACCUGGCCGACGAGACUCAAAUCAGACAGCUACGCAUGUAGAACUGGCCGGUGAUGGCUUGCGGACGGGGGUUCGAUUCCCCCCGGCUCCACCA